UCAAAGUUCAAACACGUCGUUAGCCCUAAACCCCUUUCUACCGCCUACCAUCUUCUUCCCAAGUUUCAGCCCUAAACACAUCGAUCUCUCCUGCGCCAAUUCACGCCGACCAACGCCACUCGUUCCUUCCGCCGCCGUCGUCAUCUCAACAAUCAACGCAGCCACGAACCACAUUAUCUACCGCCUCCCUCGAAUCUUAAAAUCGUAGGUGUCCCUGCCGCCGCCGCCGCCCCAAUCUCCACCGGUCAGCAAGCAACGAAAAUCGACGCUGCUCUGAGCCUUUGUCCGAUCCCCCUAGCGUCGUGCUUCGCUGCUGCUUUGAGCUGCUGCUGUACUCCAGAAAUGCCGUUGCUCUGAAGCUUUCUCCGGUCGCCGCCACCGCUGCUCUGAGCCUUUGUUCGGUCGCCCUAGCUUACUCUGGUUUACCUUGCUGUACACCAGACGGCGAAUGUUGUAAUUGCUAACAUAUUAGACGAGGCAGGAGCAAAAGUAGCUGCUGAAAUCGAAGGGCAGGACUCUUCCGGUAUGCUCUUGACUUAGCCGCUGCUGUGAGGCUUUCUUUGGUCGCUGCUCCUUGAGGUUGAAGGAAUCCAUGGAAUUAUGAUGGCAUAUUCAAGUGCCUUUCUAAUGUUUCAUUAGCAGGACCAACAUUGUUCGGCCAUGUAGUUACACAGGCUGCACAGAUAGCUAGUGGAUCUGUUGCAAGAAAUGAAAGAAAGUAUUUCGUUUUGUUGAUUAUCACGGAUGGAGUGAUAACAGACCUACAGGAAACAAAGGAUGCCUUCGUUAUGGCAUCUGAUAUGCCAUUGUCAAUACUUAUUGUUGGGGUCGGGGGAGCUGACUUUAAAGAAAUGGAGAUAUUGGAUGCAAACAAAGGUGAGAGACUCGAAAGUUCAUCUGGGCGGGUUGCAUCACGUGACAUUGUCCAGUUUGUACCUUUCCGUGAUGUACAAUCUCUGUCCAUAUCCUAUUUUCUAUGGUAUUGUUUUAUGCAUGGUAGUUCUAUGCUAAUCCUUAAUUAAGGCUUGAUCAUUAUUUUUUAGACUGAUUUUAUUGGUGCAACAUUUGGUGUUGGGACUGGACUGCAUUUCUUCUUGUGCUAACAGCAAUAUGAUCAAUGGUAGCUUGGAAACAAAGUGGAAAAAAGCCGUAUUUAAUUGUUGAAGCUUGAAGAACAUUGCAUAUGUGGAACUUGAUUUUGAAACUUGUUAUAUUAGAUUUUGAAAUUUUUUUAAAUUCAUAGUUGAAACUUAGUGCAAGACAUUCUAGAUGAUUGUAAUGAAUGUUGUUGAUAAUUGAUUUUGUAAUUUGAUAUUUUUGUUUAUUA
Molecule: long non-coding RNA, 1327 nt
Organism: Salvia miltiorrhiza (redroot sage)
Lineage: Eukaryota; Viridiplantae; Streptophyta; Magnoliopsida; Lamiales; Lamiaceae
Exons: 5
Source: RefSeq, a predicted model, not a curated record